AACCAACCCCAAUCAAUAGAAUGAUCUUCAGAAAGCUGAAAACCUAUGGAAAUUGGAAGAGUUUGACAGGAUAGACGGGAUUUACAAGCAGAAGAGAGUGGGACAGAGAUUAGAUUUGCAAAACAAACAUACAUAUGUUCAGUAGCAAUACAAACGAACUCAUUAAAUAGAGCAGAGAGGGAAUAUGCUGGGAUGCUGCAGAGGGUUUAGAGGAAGUCUUUCCAGCAACAGCAGGUGCAACUGCAUGCUUAUUAGGGAUGCUCUGUUGCUCAUUAGUUGGCAAUGGAUUUGGCGAAAUAGCAUUUGGAGGUGGCGCAAGAUUUACUUUUGUAUUGUAACUUAUAUCUUGACAAUUUGAAUUAGACCAACCCAAUUUCAAAUUCUCCAUAUCAAAAACAACACGAUAACCUGUCAUGAAGUUUUGUCCAAUAAUACCAUAGUUGAGAUCUAUUGGCUGGAGAGCUAGGCAGAACAUGGUGAAUUUCUGAUUCUGGGGAAUG
RNAcentral lists this unclassified non-coding RNA (500 nucleotides) under Hevea brasiliensis (rubber tree). Lineage: Eukaryota; Viridiplantae; Streptophyta; Magnoliopsida; Malpighiales; Euphorbiaceae. The record is from RNAcentral.